Pygocentrus nattereri (red-bellied piranha) is the source of this 683-nucleotide long non-coding RNA. RefSeq lists it as uncharacterized. NCBI's taxonomy places the organism in Eukaryota, Metazoa, Chordata, Actinopteri, Characiformes, Serrasalmidae. The transcript is spliced from 3 exons. The record is from RefSeq and is a predicted model, not a curated record.
UCCACAUCAACCCUCCUUCCUCUCUCUGCUUUCUAUGGAAGCACAUUCCUGACACAGGACCUGAUUACUACUUUUCAUUAGACACUGUGAGAAUAGCUGAAGUGCAGCCACCCGCUAGGACCAUCUGCUCCUCCGGGACAGUACCAGCGUCUGUUGGCCAUCAAGCAGAAUCCCGGAACUUCAGCAGCUGUAACCUCUCUGCACACCAUUCCAAAAGUGUCUCCGAUGUGCACUGAAUGAAGAAUGAAGGGCUUUCGGGGUGAUGGUCAGUCCUUAGUGAUUUCCUGAGUUUCCACUGGUCAGGAUGUUGAUGGACACACAAACCCACCAGUUCCACACAAUAAGAGGCAGAUGUGUAUCUUAGCCCCUCUUCACAGGCUCAUAACUCUGGAAGUGAGUCAUGUACAAUCUCGUGAUCAGAUGGAAUGGAAAGGCCAACUCUAGAGAUUCAGGAAAUAAACCAUAUUUCUACGCUGUAUUAUCAUAAAGACAGAAAAACAUACAGAUAGAAACAUCAAAUUUGACACUCAGGCAUGUUUGUGGGCCCUAGAAAACUAAUGUACUCUCACUGGCCACUUUAUUAGGUACUAGGAUUGCUAGUAAAACGUUGGACCUCCUUUUGCUUUCAGAACUGCCUUAAUUCUUCAUGGCAUACUUUCUACAAGGUGUUGGAAAUGUUCCUC